GGGGCUAUAGCUCAGAUGGGAGAGCGCCUGCCUUGCACGCAGGAGGUCAGCGGUUCAAUCCCGCUUAGCUCCA
This 73-nucleotide transfer RNA is filed under the name Buchnera aphidicola (Melanaphis sacchari). RNAcentral's name for it is "tRNA-Ala". It matches the Rfam family "tRNA". From Rfam's summary of the family: Transfer RNA (tRNA) molecules are approximately 80 nucleotides in length. Their secondary structure includes four short double-helical elements and three loops (D, anti-codon, and T loops). Lineage: Bacteria; Pseudomonadati; Pseudomonadota; Gammaproteobacteria; Enterobacterales; Erwiniaceae. The record is from RNAcentral. RNAcentral also lists the same sequence under 1 other name.